This 792-nucleotide long non-coding RNA is filed under the name Salvia miltiorrhiza (redroot sage). Its description in RNAcentral is "long non-coding RNA (SMIL_LNC007443)". Lineage: Eukaryota; Viridiplantae; Streptophyta; Magnoliopsida; Lamiales; Lamiaceae. The record is from RNAcentral.
UGCCAACGAGAAUAUCAUAUGCAAAUGUUCACAGAUCUCAAUGUCCAAUAGGCCAGGUAGAUACCUCAUACCAGUUCGGGUAGCAUCGACUUAACUAAACACGCACGACUAUAGCACGACCUUGUACUGAUACAACGUGGAUGGAACAAAACUUUCUCUGGUUAUAUCAUUACGAGGGGGACCAACGAUAGCAAAGACCCUCAAAAUCUAUUAUCAGGAACUAAAAUUACAGACCAUACCGUCUACCAUCGAGUUCCACUUGCUAUGCAAUUAAUGAACACUUGAAGUUCAGUGCUGGAGGACUCACCACAUGCAAUCAGGUGGUAACUUGAUUUGACGAAGUUUGGAGAUUAAACCUUUUUGAUGAUUUGCACAACAUCUUCAUCUUCCAAUUCGUGCUNUCAUACCAGUUCGGGUAGCAUCGACUUAACUAAACACGCACGACUAUAGCACGACCUUGUACUGAUACAACGUGGAUGGAACAAAACUUUCUCUGGUUAUAUCAUUACGAGGGGGACCAACGAUAGCAAAGACCCUCAAAAUCUAUUAUCAGGAACUAAAAUUACAGACCAUACCGUCUACCAUCGAGUUCCACUUGCUAUGCAAUUAAUGAACACUUGAAGUUCAGUGCUGGAGGACUCACCACAUGCAAUCAGGUGGUAACUUGAUUUGACGAAGUUUGGAGAUUAAACCUUUUUGAUGAUUUGCACAACAUCUUCAUCUUCCAAUUCGUGCUCCUGGUAGAUAAAGCAGUCAGAUAUUAGUAAAGAUAUUGGCAAACUGUACUGAUGA